Molecule: transfer RNA, 72 nt
Filed under: Polycheles typhlops
Lineage: Eukaryota; Metazoa; Arthropoda; Malacostraca; Decapoda; Polychelidae
Description: tRNA-Leu
Source: RNAcentral
AUUACUUUGGCAGAGAAAGAGAUGUAUUAGAUUUAGGAUCUAAAAAGAUAGAGGUAAUUUCUAUAGGUAAUA